RNAcentral lists this ribosomal RNA (374 nucleotides) under uncultured Glomeromycotina. RNAcentral describes it as "LSU rRNA". Lineage: Eukaryota; Fungi; Glomeromycota. The record is from RNAcentral.
UUGAAAGGGAAACGAUUGAAGUCAGUCGUACCAGCGGGAAUCAACCUUUCGAGUGGGGGUUUUGGAGUUUUGAAGAGUGUCAAAACCUUUGAGAUUUCAAAAUUUUCGCUCCUUUGGUGUACUUUCUCGUGGGUAGGUUAACAUCGAUUUCGAUCAUCAUAAAAGGAUUGGAGGAAUGUAGCUUCGAUCUUGUAUUGAAGUGUUAUAGCCUUUGGUAAAUGUGAUGAUUGGGAUCGAGGAUUGCAACGAAUACCCUUUUGGGCUAUCCGCCUGAUCUCUGAUACGUGGCCUUGGCAUCGAAAGCUUGCUUAUGGUAUCAAGGUAUUACGGUCAAAAGGUUAGAACGGAUUACAUUCGUUAAGGAUGUUGACGUA